GACGAACGCUGGCGGCGUGCUUAACACAUGCAAGUCGAACGGUAAGGCCCUUCGGGGUACACGAGUGGCGAACGGGUGAGUAACACGUGGGUGAUCUGCCCUGCACUUCGGGAUAAGCCUGGGAAACUGGGUCUAAUACCGGAUAGGACCCUGGGAUGCAUGUCCUGGGGUGGAAAGCUUUUGCGGUGUGGGAUGGGCCCGCGGCCUAUCAGCUUGUUGGUGGGGAGAUGGCCUACCAAGGCGACGACGGGUAGCCUGCCUGAGAGGGUGACCGGCCACACUGGGACUGAGAUACGGCCCAGACUCCUACGAGAGGCAGCAGUGGGGAAUAUUGCACAAUGGGCGCAAGCCUGAUGCAGCGACGCCGCGUGGGGGAUGACGGCCUUCGGGUUGUAAACCUCUUUCAGCACCGACGAAGCGCAAGUGACGGUAGGUGCAGAAGAAGGACCGGCCAACUACGUGCCAGCCGCCGCCUGUAA
RNAcentral lists this ribosomal RNA (479 nucleotides) under uncultured bacterium. RNAcentral describes it as "partial 16S ribosomal RNA". It matches the Rfam family "Bacterial small subunit ribosomal RNA", at positions 28 to 523 of the family's 1533-position model. The record is from RNAcentral.